GACGAACGCUGGCGGCGUGCUUAACACAUGCAAGUCGAACGGUAAGGCUCCAGCUUGCUGGGGUACACGAGUGGCGAACGGGUGAGUAACACGUGGGUGACCUGCCCUGCACUUCGGGAUAAGCCUGGGAAACUGGGUCUAAUACCGGAUAGGACCAUGGUGUGGAUACUGUGGUGGAAAGUUUUUUCGGUGUGGGAUGGGCCCGCGGCCUAUCAGCUUGUUGGUGGGGUAUUGGCCUACCAAGGCGGCGACGGGUAGCCGGCCUGAGAGGGUGUACGGCCACAUUGGGACUGAGACACGGCCCAGACUCCUACGGGAGGCAGCAGUGGGGAAUAUUGCACAAUGGGCGGAAGCCUGAUGCAGCGACGCCGCGUGGGGGAUGACGGCCUUCGGGUUGUAAACUCCUUUCACCAUCGACGAAGGGUUUCUGACGGUAGAUGGAGAAGAAGCACCGGCUAACUACGUG
Molecule: ribosomal RNA, 466 nt
Filed under: uncultured bacterium
Lineage: Bacteria
Description: partial 16S ribosomal RNA
Rfam family: Bacterial small subunit ribosomal RNA
Source: RNAcentral